This 164-nucleotide unclassified non-coding RNA is filed under the name uncultured fungus. RNAcentral describes it as "sequence contains ITS1, 5.8S rRNA gene". Lineage: Eukaryota; Fungi. The record is from RNAcentral.
CUGAGUUGCACGACUCCAAACCAAACCGAACCUACCGUACCGUUGCCUCGGCGGGCAGCUCCAGGGCGGAGCCUGCAGCCCCCGUGGGGGGGUGCCCGCCAGAGGACCACCAGACCCUGUCGUCUCUAAGCCUCUCUUGAAACCACUGCGUUAGCAGACAAUCA